GCACAAGCGGUGGAGUAUGUGGUUUAAUUCGAUGCAACGCGAAGAACCUUACCUGGUCUUGACAUCCCGGAGACCCUUAGGAAACUAGGGGUGCUUCCAUCUGGAAGAAUCUGGAGACAGGUGCUGCAUGGCUGUCGUCAGCUCGUGCCGUGAGGUGUCGGGUUAAGUCCCAUAACGAGCGCAACCCCUACCUUUAGUUGCCAUCAGGUUAAGCUGGGGACUCUAAAGGAACUGCCUACGCAAGUAGUGAGGAAGGCGGGGAUGACGUCAAAUCAGCACGGCCCUUACGUCCAGGGCUACACACGUGCUACAAUGGCCGAUACAGAGGGCAGCUACCUGGUGACAGGAUGCAAAUCUCCAAAGUCGGUCUCAGUUCGGAUCGGAGUCUGCAACCCGACUCCGUGAAGUUGGAUUCGCUAGUAAUCGCGCAUCAGCCAUGGCGCGGUGAAUACGUUCCCGGGCCUU
Molecule: ribosomal RNA, 465 nt
Filed under: uncultured Sphingobacteriales bacterium
Lineage: Bacteria; Pseudomonadati; Bacteroidota; Sphingobacteriia; Sphingobacteriales
Description: bacterial SSU rRNA
Rfam family: Bacterial small subunit ribosomal RNA
Source: RNAcentral